Molecule: ribosomal RNA, 507 nt
Filed under: Eupholus cuvierii
Lineage: Eukaryota; Metazoa; Arthropoda; Insecta; Coleoptera; Curculionidae
Description: Eupholus cuvieri partial 16S ribosomal RNA
Rfam family: Bacterial large subunit ribosomal RNA
Source: RNAcentral
CUGCCCAAUGAAGAUUUAAAUGGCCGCGGUACUUUGACCGUGCAAAGGUAGCAUAAUCAUUAGUUUUUUAAUUGAAAGCUGGUAUGAAAGGUUGGAUGAGAAAAUUACUGUCUCUAUCUAAAUUUUUUAGAAUUUUAUUUUUAAGUAAAAAAGCUUAAAUUUAAAUAGAAGACGAGAAGACCCUAUAGAGUUUUAUAGAUUUUAAUUUAGAGACUUUUUGGUAUUAAUAAAUUUCUAAAUUAAUAUGUAUUUAGUUGGGGUGAUUGAAAAAUUAAAAAAACUUUUUUUAUGAAAAAUAACAUUUAUUUAUGAUAAAAUGAUUCUUAUUUAAAGAUUAAAAGAAAAAAUUACCUUAGGGAUAACAGCGUAAUUUUUUUAAAGAGUUCAAAUCGAAAAAAAAGAUUGCGACCUCGAUGUUGGAUUAAAAUAAAAUUUUGGUGUAGGGGCUAAAGUAUUUGGGUCUGUUCGACCCUUAAAAUUUUACAUGAUCUGAGUUUAAACCGGUGU